Cicer arietinum (chickpea) is the source of this 106-nucleotide non-coding RNA. The record is from Rfam. Lineage: Eukaryota; Viridiplantae; Streptophyta; Magnoliopsida; Fabales; Fabaceae.
AAGCAUGAUUGGGGCAUCCUGCUAGUAAAUUCUUGAACCUCUUAUAAGUGUCAUGAAGAUAUUCCGCCUUUUUCUGUUUGUAACUGGAAAUCUCUUUUCUCUUUCU